RNAcentral lists this transfer RNA (110 nucleotides) under Thermofilum adornatum 1505. RNAcentral describes it as "Thermofilum adornatus 1505 tRNA-Arg". It matches the Rfam family "tRNA". Rfam says of the family: Transfer RNA (tRNA) molecules are approximately 80 nucleotides in length. Lineage: Archaea; Thermoproteati; Thermoproteota; Thermoprotei; Thermofilales; Thermofilaceae. The record is from RNAcentral. RNAcentral also lists the same sequence under 1 other name.
GGGCCCGUAGCGCAGUUAGGAAGCGCGGCGGCCUUCUAGGCCGAAAAACCGCGAACAACACAAAACACGAAGAAAGCCGCAGGUCCCGGGUUCAAAUCCCGGCGGGCCCG